GACGAACGCUGGCGGCGUGCUUAACACAUGCAAGUCGAACGGUAAGGCCCUUCGGGGUACACGAGUGGCGAACGGGUGAGUAACACGUGGGUGAUCUGCCCUGCACUUCGGGAUAAGCCUGGGAAACUGGGUCUAAUACCGGAUAGGACCACUGCCUGCAUGGGUGGUGGUGGAAAGCUUUUGCGGUGUGGGGUGGGCCCGCGGCCUAUCAGCUUGUUGGUGGGGUGAUGGCCUACCCAGGCGACGACGGGUAGCCGGCCUGGGAGGGGGACCGGCCACACUGGGACUGAAGUACGGCCCAGCCUCCUACGGGAGGCAGCAGUGGGGAAUAUUGCACAAUGGGCGCAAGCCUGAUGCAGCGACGCCGCGUGAGGGAUGACGGCCUUCGGGUUGUAAACCUCUUUCAGCACCGACGAAGCGCAAGUGACGGUACCUGCAGAAAAAGCACCGGCUAACUACGUGCCAGCAGCCGCCGUAA
RNAcentral lists this ribosomal RNA (478 nucleotides) under uncultured bacterium. Its description in RNAcentral is "partial 16S ribosomal RNA". It matches the Rfam family "Bacterial small subunit ribosomal RNA", at positions 28 to 523 of the family's 1533-position model. The record is from RNAcentral.